UACGUAGGGACCGAGCGUUGUCCGGAGUUACUGGGCGUAAAGGGCGCGCAGGCGGUAGGCCGCGUCGGGUGUGAAAGCCCUCCGCUCAACGGAGGAGAGUCGCUCGAAACGGGCUUACUGGAGGCAGGGAGAGGUCGGUGGAAUUCCCGGUGUAGUGGUGAUAUGCGUAGAGAUCGGGAGGAACACCAGUGGCGAAGGCGGCCGACUGGACCUGUCCUGACGCUGAGGCGCGAAGGCGUGGGGAGCGAACGGG
This 253-nucleotide unclassified non-coding RNA is filed under the name uncultured Thermomicrobiales bacterium. RNAcentral's name for it is "contains 16S-23S intergenic spacer region". It matches the Rfam family "Bacterial small subunit ribosomal RNA", at positions 524 to 776 of the family's 1533-position model. The record is from RNAcentral. Lineage: Bacteria; Pseudomonadati; Thermomicrobiota; Thermomicrobia; Thermomicrobiales.